ACCGACUGAAUAUAAUAAUAAUAUAAUAUAGACAGCAUUGACCACCGCUGUAAGCAGGUAAACGUAUACUACGCUGCAGAAAACCUGUAAACCCGUCUCCGUGACCGAAGACCGUAUUAUUUUUCUGAAUAACACCGGACCCGGGCAUGAAUUUCGUCAAUUUUUCUUCAAAACAUGUUAUUAUUUUAUUAUAAUAUAUAGUAGUGCCUACUCGUAUUAUACGGUCGACGACGUACUCCGUUGACACAGUGUUUCAUAAUAAAAACCCAACUAUACGCGAAUAAUGGAGGUCCGUUAUCCAUUGUCGUUAAGUAUUAAUACGGUUUGUUAUGAUGUGCGAAGAGCUGCUGCCACCGCUACUAGUGCACGUGUAUGUUUCCCUCUCGUCUUCUCUCGUCACCGUCGCGUUUUUACGACAAAGGAAUACUAUAAUACGGCAGCUACCACGGUCUUCUCUCAUAAUAAUAUUAUUAUUAUUAUUAUUACUUCACCGGAAGAUUUUUCGUAUCUCUCCCGGGGGACAAUAAUUAGUCAGGUAUUAUUAUUAUUAUUAACCAGUGUAGAUAAUUGAAAUUUGUUAAUCUGAACGCCGAGCCGAUAUUUUAUAGCGACACGCACCAUUUAUUAAUUAUACGCUCGUAUAUAUUGUGCAUAAAUAAUUAUUUUUUGUAUACUUAAAGGAUCGUUCAACCGGCGGCAGCGGCGGCGGCGGCGACGACGACAGCGGCGGUGUGUAUCGGUUCGUAUAACCUGGCGAGGAGCAUAUGGUAUGCGAAAAAUUCAAGACAACAAAGAAACACG
Cinara cedri is the source of this 801-nucleotide non-coding RNA. The record is from the annotation of a GenBank genome assembly. Lineage: Eukaryota; Metazoa; Arthropoda; Insecta; Hemiptera; Aphididae.